This 292-nucleotide ribosomal RNA is filed under the name uncultured bacterium. RNAcentral's name for it is "partial 16S ribosomal RNA". It matches the Rfam family "Bacterial small subunit ribosomal RNA", at positions 505 to 796 of the family's 1533-position model. The record is from RNAcentral.
GUGUCAGCAGCCGCGGUAACACGUAGGGCGCAAGCGUUGUCCGGAAUUAUUGGGCGUAAAGAGCUCGUAGGCGGUCUGUUACGUCUGCUGUGAAAACCCGGGGCUUAACCCUGGGCUUGCAGUGGAUACGGGCAGACUAGAGGCAGGUAGGGGAGAAUGGAAUUCCCGGUGUAGCGGUGAAAUGCGCAGAUAUCGGGAGGAACACCGGUGGCGAAGGCGGUUCUCUGGGCCUGACCUGACGCUGAGGAGCGAAAGCGUGGGGAGCGAACAGGAUUAGAAACCCCCGUAGUCC